Molecule: ribosomal RNA, 424 nt
Filed under: uncultured prokaryote
Description: bacterial SSU rRNA
Rfam family: Bacterial small subunit ribosomal RNA
Source: RNAcentral
UGGGGAAUAUUGGACAAUGGGCGCAAGCCUGAUCCAGCCAUGCCGCGUGAGUGACGAAGGCCUUAGGGUUGUAAAGCUCUUUUGGCGGGGACGAUAAUGACGGUACCCGCAGAAUAAGCCCCGGCUAACUUCGUGCCAGCAGCCGCGGUAAUACGAAGGGGGCUAGCGUUGUUCGGAAUUACUGGGCGUAAAGCGCGCGUAGGCGGGCUGGUCAGUUGGGGGUGAAAUCCCGGGGCUUAACCUCGGAACUGCCCUCAAUACUACCAGUCUAGAGUUCGAGAGAGGUAAGUGGAAUUCCUAGUGUAGAGGUGAAAUUCGUAGAUAUUAGGAAGAACACCAGUGGCGAAGGCGGCUUACUGGCUCGAUACUGACGCUGAGGCGCGAAAGCGUGGGGAGCAAACAGGAUUAGAUACCCGCGUAGUCC